AAGGAGCCUAAAGAGAUGUUUUUCUAUGGUCUGUUGGCCAUUUCAGAACUUGGGCAUUGAAAUGGUCAAUUCAUUAGAAAGAAAUAGCU
Molecule: small nucleolar RNA, 89 nt
Organism: Cavia porcellus (domestic guinea pig)
Lineage: Eukaryota; Metazoa; Chordata; Mammalia; Rodentia; Caviidae
Source: Ensembl